UACGGAGGGUGCAAGCGUUAAUCGGAAUUACUGGGCGUAAAGCGUGCGUAGGCGGCUGCUUAAGUCAGAUGUGAAAGCCCCGGGCUUAACCUGGGAACGGCAUUUGAUACUGGGCAGCUCGAGUUGAGUAGAGGAGAGGGGAAUUUCCGGUGUAGCGGUGAAAUCCGUAGAUAUUGGAAGGAAUACCAGAAGCGAAGGCGACCUACUGGGACAUUACUGACGCUGAGGCUCGAAAGCGUGGGGAGCAAACAGG
RNAcentral lists this ribosomal RNA (253 nucleotides) under uncultured bacterium. RNAcentral's name for it is "partial 16S ribosomal RNA". It matches the Rfam family "Bacterial small subunit ribosomal RNA", at positions 524 to 776 of the family's 1533-position model. The record is from RNAcentral.